RNAcentral lists this microRNA precursor (67 nucleotides) under Bombyx mori (domestic silkworm). RNAcentral describes it as "mir-2774 microRNA precursor family". It matches the Rfam family "mir-2774 microRNA precursor family". The record is from Rfam by way of RNAcentral. Lineage: Eukaryota; Metazoa; Arthropoda; Insecta; Lepidoptera; Bombycidae.
ACAACGUUCGGACCGUCGGUCUACCGAGCAAUAUCACCCACUCGGUGGAAGAUCUUCCUUUCAUUGU